AUGUGUAUGGUGUGGGAGGGGGAGGGGGAAGAACUUUUUCUCACGGUGACUGGCUCGGACUCGGUCGGUGAUGCGUAUCAUCAUUCAGUCUCUGAAGGAAAACGCAUGGACAGUAGCAGCUGCAUCAAGAGGACGCGAUUUUUCAACAUUCAUGUCCAGCUUUGCUCAGCGGUGGUUUGUGAGCGUGGAGGGCUAGGUUGUCAGUGAGGGAGUGUCCUUUGUGCUGGGGCUUGCUGUUCUAAUGUCAACUUUUUACAACUUUAACCUGCAAUACCAGGACAAUGCUGCAUGGUCGUUGGAGUUCAUUCAGAGAAUCUGCAUGGGGAUUAAUCCUGAGAGAGGAUCAAAGGCAUACAGUGGACAGGCACCCAGCAGAAAAACUGGAAAGAUGGUCCAGAAGAAACCAUCAACAGUGAACCUGCAUGUCUGCACCCUAAUCAGGAAGCUCAACGACUUCAAGUGGGACUUUGUUUGAUCUUCUCUCAUAGCAUUGUAUUGUUUAGGUGCAGA
Molecule: long non-coding RNA, 510 nt
Organism: Perca fluviatilis (European perch)
Lineage: Eukaryota; Metazoa; Chordata; Actinopteri; Perciformes; Percidae
Exons: 3
Source: RefSeq, a predicted model, not a curated record